AUUGAACGCUGGCGGCAUGCCUUACACAUGCAAGUCGAACGGUAACAGGUCUUCGGAUGCUGACGAGUGGCGAACGGGUGAGUAAUACAUCGGAACGUGCCUAGUAGUGGGGGAUAACUACUCGAAAGAGUGGCUAAUGCCGCAUGAGAUCUACGGAUGAAAGCAGGGGAUCGCAAGACCUUGUGCUACUAGAGCAGCCGAUGGCAGAUUAGGUAGUUGGUGGGAUAAAAGCUUACCAAGCCGACGAUCUGUAGCUGAUCUGAGAGGACGAUCAGCCACACUGGGACUGAGAAACGGCCCAGACUCCUACGGGAGGCAGCAGUGGGGAAUUUUGGACAAUGGGCGCAAGCCUGAUCCAGCAAUGCCGCGUGCAGGAUGAAGGCCUUCGGGUUGUAAACUGCUUUUGUACGGAACGAAAAGCCCCGGGUUAAUACCCUGGGGUCAUGACGGUACCGUAAGAAUAAGCACCGGCUAACUACGUGCCAGCCGCCGCCGUAA
RNAcentral lists this ribosomal RNA (498 nucleotides) under uncultured bacterium. Its description in RNAcentral is "partial 16S ribosomal RNA". It matches the Rfam family "Bacterial small subunit ribosomal RNA", at positions 30 to 523 of the family's 1533-position model. The record is from RNAcentral.